UCCACUUAGUUCAAUGGCUGAACUGACCGUUUCCCAAAAUAAUUGGAAGCGGGAGGUCGGGGGUUCGAAUCCCCUUGGUGGCU
Molecule: non-coding RNA, 83 nt
Organism: Mycena galopus ATCC 62051
Lineage: Eukaryota; Fungi; Basidiomycota; Agaricomycetes; Agaricales; Mycenaceae
Source: the annotation of a GenBank genome assembly